This 454-nucleotide ribosomal RNA is filed under the name uncultured Rhodospirillales bacterium. RNAcentral describes it as "bacterial SSU rRNA". It matches the Rfam family "Bacterial small subunit ribosomal RNA", at positions 29 to 505 of the family's 1533-position model. Lineage: Bacteria; Pseudomonadati; Pseudomonadota; Alphaproteobacteria; Rhodospirillales. The record is from RNAcentral.
AACGAACGCUGGCGGCGCGCUUAACACAUGCAAGUCGAACGAGGUAUCUGUUUUCGGAUGGAAUACUUAGUGGCGCACGGGUGAGUAACGCGUGGGAACCUGCCCUUUGCUACGGGACAACCACUGGAAACGGUGGCUAAUACCGUAUAAUGCAGCUUCGCAAGGAGUUGCCAAAGAUUUAUCGGCGAAGGAGGGGCCCGCGUUAGAUUAGCUUGUUGGUGGGGUAACGGCCUACCAAGGCUUCGAUCUAUAGCUGGUCUGAGAGGACGAUCAGCCACACUGGGACUGAGACACGGCCCAGACUCCUACGGGAGGCAGCAGUGGGGAAUCUUGGACAAUGGGGGCAACCCUGAUCCAGCGACGCCGCGUGGAUGAAGAAGGCCUUAGGGUUGUAAAGUCCUUUCACCGGGGAGAAUGAUGAUGUUACCCGGAGAAGAAGCACCGGCUAACUCCG